CAAUAACGAGUUUUUACCACAAGGUUCAUACACACUUUUGGGUGUAAAUGAAUUUCAAGUUUCUAGUGUGAAAGUUUAACGUUGACCUGCUUCGAGACAGAAAGAAAAUGUCGACUGUUUUCCAGCUUGGAGUUUUGCUUCUAUUUGUAGGAGCUGUGCAGUGUGAGGAUCGUCCCUUCGGCAUCAGAGGCCUCGAGGUUAAAUCUGCAGAAAGCAGACAAGGCACAGUUUUUUUGUAAUGUGUGCACAAAAAUUGUGAAUAAAGUCUUCGAAAUGAUUGGAGAUCAACUCUCAAAGGACAACAUCAAUGCAGCUCUUAACAAAGUGUGUGAUAAACUGAUAUUUAAAAAAAGGUGCAGGUCACUGGUUGACCAAUACAGAGAAAAGCUGGUUAGGAUCAUCUUGUCUGCCAAGCACCCCCACAAAGUCUGCAAACUUCUCCACCUGUGCAUAAUAUAUGAAAACUAGAUAAUUUCAUUCUUUGUGGUAAUUCUGUGUACUUUUAUUUUAAAAUGUCCAAACGCUUUGACAGCCUGAUCUCCUAGUCAACUGCUAUGAAAGUGACCAAAAACAUGUUAUUAAUAUAUAUUCCCAAGUCUGCAUUUCUGUUAUGAAUAAAUAAUAAUCAUUACUGGAAUUUGGAUCAAAACACUGAUAUAAAAUGUGAUUGUUUUGCAAUGAUUUGAUUUGUUUUGUUUGUUUUUUUUUUUUGUGCUAAUUUUUAUAUACAGUAUGUUUUCCCUUUAGUAAAAGAAACUGUGUAUUUUAUUAAAACAUUGUUGUAACACUUCAAUCUGAAUAAACAUGUUCAUUAACUAGUUUA
Molecule: long non-coding RNA, 823 nt
Organism: Tachysurus fulvidraco (yellow catfish)
Lineage: Eukaryota; Metazoa; Chordata; Actinopteri; Siluriformes; Bagridae
Exons: 4
Source: RefSeq, a predicted model, not a curated record